This 910-nucleotide long non-coding RNA is filed under the name Anser brachyrhynchus (Pink-footed goose). RNAcentral describes it as "lncRNA (ENSABRG00000002229.1)". The record is from RNAcentral. Lineage: Eukaryota; Metazoa; Chordata; Aves; Anseriformes; Anatidae.
GUAAAGCAGUGUCCUGCUGAGAUGAGGGAUCAGGUAAAGCAGUUUUGGAGCCCAUCGGUCCGUGCUUUGAGCUUGUACUGGGGGAGCCUCUGCUUCUCCCAUAAAUUCCUCAUGUGCACAAGCAGUGGAGCAGAGGGAGAGCAGGCAGGGAGCAGGGUGCUGGGAGGGUCCAGGAGACAGGAGCCCACUGGGAAGGGACCUGCAGGUCCUGGGUGGGAUGGGGUGGGAUGAGCACCCUCCUGUGCCCCCUGCUAACUGCUGGCGAGGGGCUGGCUCCCACCUGGCCUUUUGGUUGUACUGCUCAUGCAGCACAAAUUGGGAUGCUUAAUUAUUUCAAUAGAGGUUAAUUAUGUUAGUCACUGCAGCAAAUCUCCAGUUCAUGCCAUGCUUUCCACUUCAUUUAAUUCAUUACCCCCUGUGAAAUUCAGUAGAUUCCUGCAUAGAAUUGCUCAUUUAGCUCACAUAUGUCCCUUUCAACAGCAAUCCUCCACACCUACCCCUUCUCUUUCUCUUGGUUUUUGCUCCUCUAAAUAUUAAUGGCUGGAAGUAACAAAGCUAGGGGGCACACGAAUGCCUGGGCCAAGGCAGGAGCGCAGCAGUUGGUCCUGACAAGGGGUAAAGAACAAGUUGGCUGGAGCAAUCACUUUCUGCUGGGUCACCCAUGCAUGUCCUUGUGGUCAGCCCUCCAGCAGGAUCUAAAAGAGCUCCUGUUAACACGGAUGGUUGUUUGCAUAACCAUGCAAAGCGAACUCUGUUCUUUCAAGAAGCUGUAAGACGAAAGCAUAAUUGCCUGUGCUGCCAGCACCGCCAGGCCCACCUAACCAAAGGUUGCUCUGCCGUCAGCCUGGGCACUGCCAGCGCUGCGCGGGGAGCUCCCGGGAGUCUGAAGGGCUUCAGGUGGAAGGAGUGA